UCACUGAAUACUGUCUUUUAACACUUGC
This 28-nucleotide non-coding RNA is filed under the name Bombyx mori (domestic silkworm). Lineage: Eukaryota; Metazoa; Arthropoda; Insecta; Lepidoptera; Bombycidae. The record is from RNAcentral.